AUUGAACGCUGGCGGCAGGCCUUACACAUGCAAGUCGAGCGGUAACAGGGCGCUUGCUCCUGACUUCAGCGGCAGACGGGUGUGAUAUGCCUAGGAAUCUGCCUGCUAGUGGGGGAUAACGUCCGGAAACUUGCUCUAAUACCGCACACGUCCUGGAGGAAAAAAUGGGGGAGCUUCGCACCUCACGCUAUCAGAGGCGCCUAGGGCAGAUUAGCUAGUUGGUGGGGUAAAGGCCUACCAAGGCGACGAUCCGUAACUGGUCUGAGAGGAUGAUCAGUCACACUGGAACUGAGACACGGUCCAGACUCCUACGGGAGGCAGCAGUGGGGAAUUUUGGACAAUGGGCGAAAGCCUGAUCCAGCCAUGCCGCGUGCAUGAAGAAGGUCUUCGGAUUGUAAACUGCUUUAGGUCGGGACGAAGGGCCGUCAGUUAAUACAGUAGGGUCAUGACGUUACCGAAAGAAUAAGCACCGGCUAACUACGUG
This 484-nucleotide ribosomal RNA is filed under the name uncultured bacterium. RNAcentral describes it as "partial 16S ribosomal RNA". It matches the Rfam family "Bacterial small subunit ribosomal RNA", at positions 30 to 507 of the family's 1533-position model. The record is from RNAcentral.